UGAAUACGAGACGCUAAGGCGUCGAAGUAGUGUAUAUCAGACUUCCAAGAAAAGCUUGCACUGUCAUAGAUAAAAAAUGCCUGUACCAUAACCGACACAGGUGGGUAGGUAGAGUAUACUAAGGGGCGCGAGAUAACUCUCUCUAAGGAACUCGGCAAAAUAACUCCGUAACUUCGGGAGAAGGAGUGCCUUAUUUAUAAGGUUGCAAUAACAAGAUCCAAGCAACUGUUUAUCAAAAACACAGGUCUCCGCUAAGUCGUAAGACGAUGUAUGGGGGCUGACGCCUGCCCAGUGCCAGAAGGUUAAAGAAGUUGGUUAGCAAUUGCGAAGCUGAUAACUGAAGCCCUGGUGAACGGCGGCCGUAACAAUAACGGUCCUAAGGUAGCGAAAUUCCUUGUCGGGUAAGUUCCGACCCGCACGAAAGGCGUAAUGAUUUGGAUACUGUCUCGGAGAGGGGCUCGGUGAAAUAGACUUGUCUGUGAAGAUGCGGACUACCUGCACCAGGACAGAAAGACCCUAUGAAGCUUUACUGUAACUUGAAAUUGAAAUUGGACUUUAUUCGCGCAGCAUAGGUGGGAGGCGUUGAUUAUAAUCUUGCGGGAUUAUUGGAGCCAUCAGUGAGAUACCACUCUUGUAAUGUUAGAUUUCUAACUUUGAAUCAUUAUCUGGUCAAAGAACAGUUUCAGGCGGGCAGUUUGACUGGGGCGGUCGCCUCCUAAAUGGUAACGGAGGCGUACAAAGGUUUGCUCUGAACGGUUAGAAAUCGUAUCUAGAGUGUAAAGGCAUAAGGAAGCUUGACUGUGAGACCUACAAGUCGAGCAGGGACGAAAGUCGGUCUUAGUGAUCUGACGGUACUGAGUGGAAAGGCCGUCACUCAACGGAUAAAAGUUACUCUAGGAUAACAGGCUGAUCUCCCCCAAGAGUUCACAUCGACGGGGAGGUUUGGCACCUCGAUGUCGGCUCAUCGCAUCCUGGGGCGGUAGUACGUCCCAAGGGUUGGGCUGUUCGCCCAUGAAAGCGGUACGCGAGCUGGGUUCAGAACGUCGUGAGACAGUUCGGUCCAUAUCCGGUGUAGGCGUUAGAAUAUUGAGAGGAGCCUUCUUUAGUACGAGAGGACCGAGAAGGACAUACCUCUGGUGUACCAGUUAUCGUGCCAACGGUAAACGCUGGGUAGCUAUGUAUGGAGUGGAUAACCGCUGAAAGCAUCUAAGUGGGAAGCCCACCUCAAGAUAAGUAUUCCC
This 1241-nucleotide ribosomal RNA is filed under the name metagenome. Its description in RNAcentral is "bacterial LSU rRNA". It matches the Rfam family "Bacterial large subunit ribosomal RNA", at positions 1564 to 2815 of the family's 2925-position model. The record is from RNAcentral.